This 492-nucleotide ribosomal RNA is filed under the name uncultured bacterium. Its description in RNAcentral is "partial 16S ribosomal RNA". It matches the Rfam family "Bacterial small subunit ribosomal RNA", at positions 29 to 507 of the family's 1533-position model. The record is from RNAcentral.
AGUGAACGCUGGCGGUAGGCCUAACACAUGCAAGUCGAACGGCAGCACAGUAAGAGCUUGCUCUUACGGGUGGCGAGUGGCGGACGGGUGAGGAAUACAUCGGAAUCUACUUUUUCGUGGGGGAUAACGUAGGGAAACUUACGCUAAUACCGCAUACGACCUACGGGUGAAGGCAGGGGAUCUUCGGACCCUGCGCGAUUGAAUGAGCCGAUGUCGGAUUAGCUAGUUGGCGGGGUAAAGGCCCACCAAGGCGACGAUCCGUAGCUGGUCUGAGAGGAUGAUCAGCCACACUGGAACUGAGACACGGUCCAGACUCCUACGGGAGGCAGCAGUGGGGAAUAUUGGACAAUGGGCGCAAGCCUGAUCCAGCCAUACCGCGUGGGUGAAGAAGGCCUUCGGGUUGUAAAGCCCUUUUGUUGGGAAAGAAAAGCAGCAGGUUAAUACCCCGCUGUUCCGACGGUACCCAAAGAAUAAGCACCGGCUAACUUCGUG